Molecule: ribosomal RNA, 496 nt
Filed under: uncultured bacterium
Lineage: Bacteria
Description: partial 16S ribosomal RNA
Rfam family: Bacterial small subunit ribosomal RNA
Source: RNAcentral
GAUGAACGCUGGCGGCGUGCCUAAUACAUGCAAGUCGAGCGAACAGAUGAGGAGCUUGCUCCUCUGACGUUAGCGGCGGACGGGUGAGUAACACGUGGAUAACCUACCUAUAAGACUGGGAUAACUUCGGGAAACCGGAGCUAAUACCGGAUAAUAUAUUGAACCGCAUGGUUCAAUAGUGAAAGACGGUUUUGCUGUCACUUAUAGAUGGAUCCGCGCCGCAUUAGCUAGUUGGUAAGGUAACGGCUUACCAAGGCAACGAUGCGUAGCCGACCUGAGAGGGUGAUCGGCCACACUAGAACUGAGACACGGUCCAGACUCCUACGGGAGGCAGCAGUAGGGAAUCUUCCGCAGUGGGCGAAAGCCUGACGGAGCAACGCCGCGUGAGUGAUGAAGGUCUUCGGAUCGUAAAACUCUGUUAUUAGGGAAGAACAAAUGUGUAAGUAACUAUGCACGUCUUGACGGUACCUAAUCAGAAAGCCACGGCUAACUACGU